Molecule: long non-coding RNA, 630 nt
Organism: Peromyscus eremicus (cactus mouse)
Lineage: Eukaryota; Metazoa; Chordata; Mammalia; Rodentia; Cricetidae
Exons: 3
Source: RefSeq, a predicted model, not a curated record
AUCCCAGCUGAAGGAAUGGUGCCACCCAUAGUGAGUGAGUUUUCCUGUUAUAAUUAGCUUGAGCUAGAUAACAGCUCUACAUGCUUGCCCAGAAGCUAACCUAACCUGGAUAAUCCCUCAGAGGUGUGUCUGGAAAAUUGUCUUCAGAGUCUAGAUCUCAUCAAGUUGACAAUCAAGAUUAACCAUUGUCAAGUGUACAUAAAGAUCCACAUACCACUUCUCCGUUAGAAAAAAAAUACAAAGAUGAGGACUCUGAAACUCAGUAAUUGUGAAUGCAUGGGAGAGAGUUUAUGAGCCAUAUAGCUCAGAACUUUCUAUGGAACUUUCAAUGGAAGCAUCUUAGAAAAACUGGAUGUGAAGAAAGUGGCCAUGAAUUCUGGAGGAAUAAGCUCCAAGAACACGCUAAGGCUCGCGGCCUUUGGGGAAUUUAAGAUCCAAUCCACAAACUGGAGGUAGGAAAUAGGAGUCUACAUCUGAGAAUCCAUGAGAAGACAGAGAACAAGCAAGCAAAUAGAUAAAAUUAAAACUGAGUGCUGAGAUCAACACUUAUAGAGGAUUGUGAAGUACUAUAUCCAAAAUAAGUAGUUAUUAUUUGUCAGGCUGCCUGGGGAUCUUGAAGACUGUUUUGCA